Anolis carolinensis (green anole) is the source of this 8648-nucleotide long non-coding RNA. RefSeq lists it as uncharacterized. The record is from RefSeq and is a predicted model, not a curated record. The transcript has 2 exons. NCBI's taxonomy places the organism in Eukaryota, Metazoa, Chordata, Lepidosauria, Squamata, Anolidae.
GUUACCUUGCUUCUCUCUUACUAUUCAUCUUUCCUAAACACCAGUUGGCAUCAUGACCACAUUUCAUGUAUUGUAUCCAGGGUCUUUUCUUUCUUUUUUUUCUUUUUUGUCCUUUUAUUUCCUUUCCUCUAAUACUGAAUACUUGUUUUUACCUUUCAUUCACAUGUGGAGUAUGCCUGUCCUUGGAAGAACAUUAAAUAUAUUGAAGUAAAUCAAUCUCAUUUGUUGAUAAGAAAGCUCUCUAGAAUGGAAUGUUAUUUUUCUGUUCCUUUAUUGUUAUCAGAAUCCAAGUGAAGGGAGGAAUCAAAUUGUUUUCUAUUAUUCCUACCUAGAGUAGUGCAAGCUGUGAUGUGCAAUGGUACUUUUAACCUAUUAGAUUAAAAGCAUCCUGCCAUUUCUUCCUACAGUCUUCUCCUUUAGAACAAGGAGUUCUUUAUCUUUGUUCUCUCAAUUCAAGAUUUUAAAAAUCUGUUAUUAUCGCUUCACAGUUUCUCAGCUCUCUCUGAAUUAAUUUGCUUCACAUAAUAAAUGAACUGAGAACAUGUAGUGCGUAAAAAAGAAAUGUCAGAGAAUGCGGCGUUACUUCUUAUAUUAUUAAGUAGGCAGGAAUCUAUUAAUUUAUGUAAUUUAAGAGUGUGUUCCUUGCCAUUUCCACUUUUUCAAAAACUUACAAUAAAAUAAUAAAAAGGACAUAAAACUAUUAUAAACAUUGAUGUAAUAUCUACUGUCAUCUGAGGCCCUACUGCACAAUCUCCUGGUAUACUGCUUUUAUACCAGACAGGUUAGUCAGAUUCAUAGCUUUGCAAUCAUUUUGUUGGUGAAGGCUGCCUUGUAAGAUUCAGUGAAGGCAACAGGUUUAUGCAGUUUCAUUUGUUACAAUCCUUAAAAUGAAGGAAGCAGCCCAUUCAUUUAGGGGUAAUUCCAAUUCAGUGUACCUGCUUUUGUAAGGAACUACUUGGAGUUAAACAAGCCAUGGAAUUAUUUUUUUCUGUUCAUAAUUAAAAGUCUGCUUCCAAAGAAUUGACUGUUCAGUUCAAAUCAAUAUACAAAAUUCCUUUGAGUCACUGCAGCACUGCCUUUCUACUUCCCUUUGUUGUCUUCUCCCCACUUAUGCUUCAUCUCCUUUCCCUCUGGCUAUCUUUUAACUGCUCUACCUCCUGCCAUUUUUUCCCAGGUCUCAGCAAAAUCCACUAACUUCUGCUGUCUCCAGAUGUAUAAAUGCUAUUAUUCACAAAGGGUAUAUCUAUACCUGUGAUUCCCAACGUGGGCGCUACUGCCCCUUGGUGGGCGCUGGAGUGAUCCGGGGGGCGGUGAUGGCACCUAUUAGGACAUGGGAGUGGGGCCAGAGGAGGAGCAGGGCCUCUUCCCAAGUGCUGGAGUCAGGGUUAAGCACCUGAGGUGCCUGUUAAGACACACAGGGACAGAGCUAGAGGAGUAGGCGUGGCUUCUUCCCAAGAGCCCACGACAGGGCUGAGAAUCUAUACCUCACCUAAGGCGCAUGUUGGGACACAGAGGGUGGAGCUAGGGAAUGAGGCGGGGCCUCCUUCCAAGAGCCCGAGACAGAGCUGAGCCUCUAUACCUCUCCUGAGAGGCCUUUUAGGACUAAAGGGCGGGGCUAGGGAUGGGGGCAGGGCCUCUUCCCAAGAGCACAAGACAGGGCUGAGCCUCUGUAUACCUCCCCUGAGUCUCUAGCCCCUGCAGGCAAGCGCUGCAGGACAGGGAUAGAAGCUCAGCCCUGCCUCAGAGCUCAUAACUCCGGCCAUCCCAGUCCUGGCUGCACAUUUGUGGCCCCGCCCACCUCCCCCUCCCCCUCCCCCUCAGAGCCCUGCAUUUUGGACUAGGGGAGAGGCUUAGCCCCGCCCUCUUGAGCAGGAGCCACGCCCAUCCCUCUAAGACACACACCCCUUUCCAGAGGGCAUUAAGUCAUGUUUUUUCUGGAAAGGGGCAGCAAGUCAAAUAAGUUUGGGAACCACUGAUCUAUACUGUAGAAUAAUGCAGUUUGACACCACUCUAACUGCUCUGGUUCAAUGCUACGGAAUCCUGGGAUUGGUAGUUUUGUGAGGCAACAGCACUCUUUGGCAGAAAAGACUGAAAACCUUAUGAAACUACAACUCCAAUGCAUUAGUUCUACAGUGCAGAUGUGUCCAAAGCUGAGAACUUUUACUGGACCACAGGGAAACAAGUCUGCAGAGAUUCUGGCAAUUUCCUCUAACCCUUGGGUCAUAUAUGGACAUUCUUGGGUCAUAUAUGGACAUUCUGUGACAAUGCAGUGGAGCAGAUUGGGGCAGAUGUUCUUGAGGAAUUCAUCCAUUGCUGAUUCUUAUUUCAAAGGCCAGCUUUCUUACUACAGUAGAGUCUCACUUAUCCAAGCCUCGCUUAUCCAAGCCUCUGGAUUAUCCAAGCCAUUUUUGUAGUCAAUGUUUUCAAUAUAUUGUGAUAUUUUGGUGCUAAAUUCGUAAAUACAGUAAUUACAACAUAACAUUACUGCAUAUUGAACUACGUUUUCUGUCAAAUUUGUUGUAUAACAUGAUGUUUUGGUGCUUGAUUUGUAAAAUCAUAACCUAAUUUGAUGUUUAAUAGGCUUUUCCUUAAUCCCUCCUUAUUAUCCAACAUAUUCGCUUAUCCAAGCUUCUGCUGGCCCGUUUAGCUUGGAUAAGUGAGACUCUACUGUAUUUAAAAUAUAGUAAUGUGGUUUCAAAACAUAUACUAUAUGCAUAUUUUAUAAAUAUUUUAAUAGAAAAUAAGUACUGUAAUACAUAUAUUUUAUAAAAUUAAUGAUUAAUUCAAAAUGGAACACAAUUGUGGGUAAAAUUAUGUGUAAAAUCAUGGACCUGAAGCAGACACAUUCACUUAUUUCUAAUCAGUAUUACUAUUCAGAUGGGGGAUGGAAACAAGUGGAGAACAAAACCACAUACUAAAUGUAAUGAAAUUGUGAAAGCUACUUCCCUUAGAGUAAUUUUGGUUAUAGGACAGUAUCUGAGUAGUUGUAUGUGUAUGCCUGAUUUUUUUGGCGCUACACAUCCACUAACAACCUUCUCGUCUGAGGUCCUGAAUGUGUACAGAAUGUAUGUAUAUGGAAGGUCUUGGAAAAGAGAAGAUACUGGGCAGGCUGUGUCAAGUGUAGGGAAAGAUUAAGCAUUUCUCCGUUAUAAGAAAAUUCUCAUUUCUCCCCCUUCUAAAAUUCUCUUGCCUAGAAGAAGAAACCAUUAGAAACAUGUUAUCUGUCUCUUGCAAAAUCAGUUUUGUCAAAGAUAGUUAGUUUUCAUUUGCUAAAUACAAGUGCAUUCACUGUCAACAUGAAUAUGUGGAUGAAAUACUUCUUGAGUAAUCAGUUAUCCCAUAUUUCCCAGGCACUUGAAUAUUUCAGCUAAUCUUUUGGGAUCCUCUUGGCUCCCUUGUACUUCUCCCCCUAUAUUUAAAACUAUAGCCUCACUACAUGGUGGGGGGGGAUUGAUGAAGGACUAUAGAGGCACUUUUGGGGGGGAAUAUUACAGAGGAGGGUGACAUCUCUGUGAAUGCUCCUGAGAUCCUGAUUACUGAAGUGAUAUUGUAACCCACCCCUACACCACAUUUUAGUACAAUAUAGAUGGGGCCAGAGUCACUCAAAACCUGAGGGGUUCAAGUAAUUUUUUUCAGUUUUUAAGGAAUAAGUGCCUACUGCAUUUAGAGAGGCUGUAGUUCACUAUCUCUUGAAGUGGAGCACUCAGGUCCCAGAUGUAUGUCAGAAGUACUUGUGACUUUUCAAAGCUCUUGACUUAUUUAAAAAUCAUUUAUGGGAUAUUCAAUCCACUCUUUGUUUUUUUCAGCCUUUGUUGCUCUUAAGGGUUGCUAGAUCAUGAUGCUGUAAUGACUCUCAGAAUUCAAUAGAAUUUAGUCUCAAGAUCUAAGAACCAUUUAUUUUGCCUAUUAUGUCUUUUGAAUAAUUUUGGUAGCACAUAUCAUAUAUCUUUGUGACCAGAGAUUCAAUUAUGGCUCUUUCUGGGUUAGUCAAUUCUUGUUUCAGUUUUCUUUUACACGCAACAUACUGUGUAUGCUCUACCACUGCUGUUUCGCAAAUCAUGAUUAUUGAUAUGAGAGGCAAAAAGGAUGCAUUGAUUUAGUUCUGCAGAAAAUGAUCUGCAUAUGUUUAUAAUUCUGAUUAAGGGUUGUUCACCUUUGAUUUACUGACUGAUGUAACCAGCCACUUAUUUCUUCAUUUGUGUGUACUCUGGCUGAAGCAAAUACACAAUAAUUUUAACAUAAUUCCUUGCAUUUGAAUAGUAAAUGUAUACGUUUAUGAGAGUGAAGGCAUUUAGGCAGAUGUGUAGUGACAAACAUAGCCAGACAGGUUUAUGCUGAGAUCCCCUGCUUUAGGAGAAUCUUUCCCAGUAGUUUCCUAAUAUGCUGGAUUCCUACCAUCCCCAGACAAUAAUGGUCUCAUGCUCUUUGUAGGCCAUCUUGGGAAAAUCCAAUUGGGAAAAAAGAUGUUUAAAUGAGGAAACAAUUAAAGGAACCUAUAAUUAAAUGAAUUCCUCAAUAUCAGUGGUGUCCAUCUUCACAACUUCUUUUGGAAAAUCCAUGCUCUGUUCUAAAAAUUAAAUUAUAAGUUAAUUAACAAGAUUCUGCUAGUUUCCCCAUUUCUUUGAUUUUUUUAACAUUCACAUUCACAUAGACUUCCAUUACACCAUGAAUGUACAAAGUCAUUUUGUGAUGGGAAAUCUGUAUGGAUCUGUCUUCAGCUAUGAAGAAACCUGGUGGGAUGACUCCCAUCACUGGAAUGUAGCCAUUGAAGGCUAUAACCUCUUUCACAGAAAUAGAACAAAGGGGAGAGGAGGGGGAGUAGCUUUAUAUGUCAAAAACAGUUAUGUUGCAGAAGAAAUGCAAGACUGUAAUCCGGGAAACCAGCUUGAAAGCAUCUGGAUAAGAAUCAAGGGAACCGGGACUCAAAAAGAUCUCGUCGUGGGUGUCUACUACAGACCUCUGAACCAGGAUGGAGAACUUUAUGAAGCCUUCUGUCAGCAGCUGACCAAACAGGCAAAAAGAAGAGAUAUAGUAGUCAUGGGCGACUUCAACUAUCCUGAUAUAUGCUGGAAAACAAACUCGGCCAAGAGCACCAACAAAUUCCAACAAAUUCCUCACUUGCCUUGCAGACAAUUUUAUGGUCCAGAAGGUAGAAGAGGCAACAAGGGGAUCAGCUACUCUUGAUCUAAUCUUAACAAAUGUGGAAGACCUGAUCAAUACAGUCAGAGUGGUCGGAUCCUUAGGGGCAAGUGACCAUGUGCUCCUGCAGUUUGCCAUACAAAGGAAGGCUGAAACUAAGACAAGUCAAACACACAUUCUGGACUUUUAAGAGAGCUGAUUUCCAAAAAAUGAAGGAAAUACUGAGCGGCAUUCCAUGGACGCCAAUAUUAAAAGACAAGGGAGUUAAGGAUGGAUGGGAAUUUUUUAAAAGUGAAAUACUCAAGGCGCAAAUGCAAACAGUGCCAACAAAGAAAAAAAAAAUAUGACAAGUGAAAAGAAGCCAGAAUGGAUGUCCAAAGAACUUCUAACCGGGCUAAGACUCAAAAGAGACAUGCACAAGAAGUGGAAAAGGGGAGAAAUCACCAAAGAAGAAUUCAAACGUAUAGCCAACUCCUGUAGGGAAAAGGUUUGCAAGGCUAAAGCGCAAAAUGCGCUCAGGCUUGCCACGGACAUUAAAAACAACAAAAAAGGCUUUUUUGCUUACGUUGGUAGAAAAAGGAAGAACAAGGAGGCGAUAGGGCCUCUGCAAGGAGAAGAUGGGGUGAUGGCGACGGGGGAUAGGGAAAAGGCAGAACUGCUCAAUGCCUUCGUUGCCUCAGUCUUCUCACAAAAAGAAUGCCAUCUUCAAUCUCAGCAACAUGAAAUGGAUGAAGGAUUUUGGGAAAUCCAACCCCAAAUUGGGAGACAAGUUGUCCAGGAACAUCUGGCCACUCUAAACGAAUUCAAGUCCCCAGGGCCAGAUCAGCUACAUCCAAGAAUAUUGAAGGAACUAGCUGAGGUUAUUUCAGAACCACUGACCAUUAUCUUCAAGAGUUCUUGGAGAACAGGAGAAGUCCCCAAAGAUUGGAGGAGGGCAAAUGUGGCCCCUGUCUUCAAGAAGGGAAAAAAGAAUGACCCGGUCAGCCUCACAGCAAUACCAGGCAAGAUUCUGGAAAAGAUCAUUAAGGAAGUGGUCUGCAAACACUUAGAAACAAAUGCAGUCAUUGCUAAUAGUCAACACGGAUUUACCAAAAACAAGUCAUGCCAGACUAAUCUGAUCUCUUUUUUUGAUAGAGUUACGAGUUGGGUCGAUACAGGGAAUGCCGUGGAUGUAGCGUACCUAGAUUUCAGUAAGGCCUUCGACACAACCUUCUGGCAAACAAACUAGUAAAAUGUGGGCUAGACAAAACUACGGUUAGGUGGAUCUGUAAUUGGCUAAGUGAACGAACCCAAAGGGUGCUCACAAAUGCAUCGUCUUCAUCUUGGAAAGAAGUCAUGAGUUCCGUCCUGGGCCUGUUUCUGUUUAAUAUCUUUAUUAACGACUUAGACGAAGGAUUAGAAGGCACGAUCAUCAAGUUUGCAGAUGACACCAAACUGGGAGGGAUAGCCAACACUCCAGAAGACAGGAGUAGAAUUCAAAACAAUCUUGACAGACAAGAGAGAUGGGCCAAAACUAACAAAAUGAAGUUCAACAGGGAUAAAUGCAAGAUAUUUCAUUUCGGCAGAAAAAAUGGAAUGCAAAGAUACAGAAUGGGGGACGCCUGGCUACAUAGCAGUACUUGUGAAAAAGAUCUUGGAGUCCUUGUGGACAACAAGUUAAACAUGAGCCAACAAUGUGAUGCGGCUGCUAAGAAAGCCAAUGGGAUUCUGGACUGCAUCAAUAGGGGUAUAGCAUCUAGAUCCAGGGAAGUCAUGUUACCCCUCUGUUCUGCCUUGGUCAGGCCACACCUGGAAUACUGUGUUCAAUUCUGGGCACUGCAGUUGAAGGGAGAUAUUGACAAGCUGGAAUGAGGAGGAGGGCAACUAAAAUGAUCAAAGGUCUGGAGAACAAACCCUAUGAGGAGAGGCUUAAAGAACUGGGCAUAUUUAGCCUGCAGAAGAGAAGACUAAGAGGAGACAUGAUAGCCAUGUACAAAUAUGUGAGGGGAAGUCAUAGGGAGGAGGGAGCAAGCUUUUUUUCUGCUGCCCUGGAGACUAGGACACGGAACAAUGGCUUCAAACUACAGGAAAGGAGAUUCCACCUGAACAUCAGGAAGAACUUCCUCACUGUGAGGUCUGUUCGGCAGUGGAACUCUCUCCCCCAGACUGUAGUGGAGCCUCCUUCUUUGGAGGCUUUUAAACAGAGGCUGGAUGGCCAUCUGUCGGGGGUGCUUUGAAUGUAAUUUCCUGCUUCUUGGCAGGGGGUUGGACUGGAUGGCCCAUGAGGUCUCUUCCAACACUACUAUUCUAUGAUUCUAUGAUUCUAUGAAUCAGUAGUUUGGUUACUUUUAAAAAUGCAAUCUGUUGAUGCAGUAGUCAGUAUGGUUCUAAGGAUUUGUGAAAUGCUGAUAUUUGCUUUUGAUGAAUAAAAUGAAGACUUGUUCCAGAGUUGUAUUCCAUAUAUUAUAAGCAGAACAAGGACACAUUGUGUAGUACAUAUUGUGGCUUUUAUAGAUUGGGGAAGGGGGGGUAUUUGUACACAAUAGUAAGUUGUAACCAACCUUUUUGUUGGUUUGAUAGAUAUAUGAAUAGUUUUUUUCUCCUCGGUAGAGUUUUUUUCUCCCUAAAAUAGCUCACAAAAGUGACAAAGCAAUUCUGACAACAGUAUUUCUUGUGAUAUUAAUAUAGAGACUUCUCACUCUCAAAAUCUACAGAAAUGUCCAAGGACAAAUGCCUAAAUGUAAUGAACCAUACCUAAUGACUCCAUUAUUAAUUUUUCAGUGUAAUAUAAUCUCUAAACUAAUUUGUUUGGGAUUAAGAUGGUCAUGUACUUGAUAGCUAUUACACUGUAAUAAAGUGUUAUAAAGUGCUAGUUAACCAUUAGCCAAUCACUGCACUCUUUGUUAAUCACUGUAACCUUACAACUCAAGGGUGUAAUUUUGCCAUAAAUAAAAUUAAAAGGAUUCUCUAGUCUGACUUUGGUAAAUGGAAAAAUACCAAAGAAAGCAUACUGUGUUUUAAUAUUGUGUUGGAAAUCUAUCUGAAUUUCAUUUCUUUGUAAACUGUUAUCAAAGUAGCCUCAGUUUCAUACAGCAAGUGUAUCAGCUCUUGGAUGAUAGAAACUAACAUUCAUUUUGAAAUUUUAUGUACUGUAUCACACCAAAAAAAAAAAAAAAAACCAGUAUUCAGUCCUGUAUUUUUGAAAAUACAGACUUGCUCAUAAAAUGAUGCCCUUUUCCCCAGGGGCCACAAAUCUAUAUCUGGGUUGUAUUACUUUAAGCCCAAUGUUGAGAUUCAUAGAAUACUCUGUUAUCUGUUGUUACUCUGUUGUUUUUAAAUCCUGACCAUCAUGUUAUUGUAUUAAUUCUUCUUAAACAUUCCAUUACAUGCUCUGUAUUACUUCCAAUCAUUGUUCUUUUCAGGUACUCAGCUUUUAAUACCCGAAGCAUUAAAGAUUAAUGUCUAACAUAGUAACUGCCCAUGUAAAAGAAACCUAUGCCAGAUAACUUGAAAAUUAUUUUUCACAAAAA